Molecule: ribosomal RNA, 1060 nt
Filed under: uncultured Bacteroidales bacterium
Lineage: Bacteria; Pseudomonadati; Bacteroidota; Bacteroidia; Bacteroidales
Description: bacterial SSU rRNA
Rfam family: Bacterial small subunit ribosomal RNA
Source: RNAcentral
AACGCUAGCUACAGGCUUAACACAUGCAAGUCGAGGGGCAGCAUGAAUUUACUUCGGUAGAUUCGAUGGCGACCGGCGCACGGGUGCGUAACGCGUAUCCAACCUUCCCGUUACUCCGGGAUAGCCUUCCGAAAGGGAGAUUAAUACCGGAUGGUGUUCAAGUGGUGCAUAUUAUUUGAACUAAAGAUUUAUCGGUAACGGAUGGGGAUGCGUACCAUUAGAUAGUAGGCGGGGUAACGGCCCACCUAGUCGACGAUGGUUAGGGGUUCUGAGAGGAAGGUCCCCCACACUGGAACUGAGACACGGUCCAGACUCCUACGGGAGGCAGCAGUGAGGAAUAUUGGUCAAUGGUCGGAAGACUGGACCAGCCAAGUAGCGUGAAGGAUGACUGCCCUAUGGGUUGUAAACUUCUUUUAUACGCGAACAACCGCAGGUACGUGUACCUGUCUGCGUGUAGCGUAUGAAUAAGCAUCGGCUAACUCCGUGCCAGCAGCCGCGGUAAUACGGAGGAUGCGAGCGUUAUCCGGAUUUAUUGGGUUUAAAGGGAGCGUAGGUGGCCUGUUAAGCCAGCUGUGAAAUACUGUAGCUCAACUACAGCCGUGCAGUUGGAACUGGCGGGCUUGAGUGCACAAGAGGAAGGUGGAAUUCAUGGUGUAGCGGUGAAAUGUUUAGACAUCACGAAGAACUCCGAUUGCGAAGGCAGCAUACUAAGCCGCUACUGACGUUGAGGCUCGAAAGUGUGGGUAUCAAACAGGAUUAGAUACCCUGGUAGUCCACACGGUAAACGAUGAAUACUCGCUGUUGGCGAUAUAGUGUCAGCGGCCAAGCGAAAGCAUUAAGUAUUCCACCUGGGGAGUACGCCGGCAACGGUGAAACUCAAAGGAAUUGACGGGGGCCCGCACAAGCGGAGGAACAUGUGGUUUAAUUCGAUGAUACGCGAGGAACCUUACCCGGGCUUAAAUUACAGAGGACAGAUCCAGAGACGGAUCCUUCUUCGGACCUCUGUGAAGGUGCUGCAUGGUUGUCGUCAGCUCGUGCCGUGAGGUGUCGGCUUAAGUGC